UACGAAAGGUGCAAGCGUUAGUCGGAAUUACUGGGCGUAAAGCGCGCGUAGGCGGUGUGUUAAGUCGGAUGUGAAAGCCCAGGGCUCAACCUUGGAACUGCAUCCGAUACUGGCAUGCUAGAGUGCAGUAGAGGGAGGUGGAAUUUCCGGUGUAGCGGUGAAAUGCGUAGAUAUGUGGAGGAAUACCGAUGGCGAAGGCAGCCCCCUGGGUCGAUACUGACGCUCAUGCACGAAAGCGUGGGGAUCAAACAGG
RNAcentral lists this ribosomal RNA (253 nucleotides) under uncultured bacterium. RNAcentral's name for it is "partial 16S ribosomal RNA". It matches the Rfam family "Bacterial small subunit ribosomal RNA", at positions 524 to 776 of the family's 1533-position model. The record is from RNAcentral.